This 301-nucleotide ribosomal RNA is filed under the name uncultured bacterium. Its description in RNAcentral is "partial 16S ribosomal RNA". It matches the Rfam family "Bacterial small subunit ribosomal RNA", at positions 509 to 809 of the family's 1533-position model. The record is from RNAcentral.
CAGUAGCCACGGUAAUACGUAGGGUGCGAGCGUUAAUCGGAAUUACUGGGCGUAAAGCGUGCGCAGGCGGUUUUGUAAGACAGAGGUGAAAUCCCCGGGCUCAACCUGGGAACUGCCUUUGUGACUGCAAGGCUAGAGUACGGCAGAGGGGGAUGGAAUUCCGCGUGUAGCAGUGAAAUGCGUAGAUAUGCGGAGGAACACCGAUGGCGAAGGCAAUCCCCUGGGCCUGUACUGACGCUCAUGCACGAAAGCGUGGGGAGCAAACAGGAUUAGAUACCCCGGUAGUCCCUGUCUCUUAUAA